RNAcentral lists this ribosomal RNA (468 nucleotides) under uncultured bacterium. RNAcentral's name for it is "partial 16S ribosomal RNA". It matches the Rfam family "Bacterial small subunit ribosomal RNA", at positions 28 to 507 of the family's 1533-position model. The record is from RNAcentral.
GACGAACGCUGGCGGCGUGCUUAACACAUGCAAGUCGAACGGAAAGGCCCUGCUUUUGUGGUGUGCUCGAGUGGCGAACGGGUGAGUGACACGUGAGUAACCUGCCCUUGACUUUGGGAUAACUUCAAGAUACUGGGGCUUAUACCGACUAGGUGCUCUCGCUGCAUGGCGGGGGGUGGAAAGGUUCGGCGGUUGGGGUUGGUCUCGCGGCUUAUCAGCUUGGUGGUGUGGUAGUGUCUUACCACGGCGUUGACGGGUAGCCGGCCUGGGAGGGUGACCGGCCCCAUUGGGACUGGGCUACGACCCGGACUGCUACGGGAGGCAGGGGUGGAGGAUAGUGGAAGCUGGGCGGAGGGCUGAUGCAGCCACGCCGCGUGGGGGAUGACGGCCAUCGGGUUGGAAACCGCUUCCUCCUGUGACGAAGCGUGAGUGACGGUAAUGGGUAAGGAAGCCCCGGCUAACUACGUG